RNAcentral lists this ribosomal RNA (535 nucleotides) under Trigonopterus sp. 74 AR-2022a. RNAcentral describes it as "partial large subunit ribosomal RNA". It matches the Rfam family "Bacterial large subunit ribosomal RNA", at positions 1825 to 2625 of the family's 2925-position model. The record is from RNAcentral. Lineage: Eukaryota; Metazoa; Arthropoda; Insecta; Coleoptera; Curculionidae.
GUCUUGUUGAUAAUAAUUUCAAGUCUAGCCUGCCCAAUGAAAAUUUAAAUGGCCGCGGUAUUCUAACCGUGCAAAGGUAGCAUAAUCAUUAGUUUUUUAAUUGAAAGCUUGCAUGAAGGGCUUGAUGAAAGAAUUUCUGUCUCUAGGAAAAUUUAUUAGAAUUUUAUUUUUAAGUGAGAAAGCUUAGAUUAGUAUAGAAGACGAGAAGACCCUAUAGAGUUUUAUAUUGAAAUUAAUUAUUGGUUUAAGGAUUUUUAGUACGAUUUUUCUUUUUAAUAUUUUAUUGGGGUGAUAGGAAAACUAAACUAACUUUUCUUUUUGUGAACAUUGAUUUAUGAAUAAAUGAUCCUAUUUAUAUAGAUUAUAAGGUUAAAUUACCUUAGGGAUAACAGCGUAAUUUUUCUUAGAGUUCUUAUCGAAAGAAGGGAUUGCGACCUCGAUGUUGGAUUAAAAUUAAUUUCUGGUGCAAAAGUUGGAAAAUUAAGUCUGUUCGACUUUUAAAAUUUUACAUGAUCUGAGUUUAAACCGGUGUGAG